AGCUGAUCAUUGGGUGUAAAGCGUGCGCAGGCGGUUUUGUAAGACAGAGGUGAAAUCCCCGGGCUCAACCUGGGAACUGCCUUUGUGACUGCAAGGCUGGAGUGCGGCAGAGGGGGAUGGAAUUCCGCGUGUAGCAGUGAGAUGCGUAGAUAUGCGGAGGAACACCGAUGGCGAAGGCAAUCCCCUGGGCCUGCACUGACGCUCAUGCACGAAAGCGUGGGGAGCAAACA
RNAcentral lists this ribosomal RNA (230 nucleotides) under uncultured Alicycliphilus sp. RNAcentral describes it as "partial 16S ribosomal RNA". It matches the Rfam family "Bacterial small subunit ribosomal RNA", at positions 550 to 774 of the family's 1533-position model. Lineage: Bacteria; Pseudomonadati; Pseudomonadota; Betaproteobacteria; Burkholderiales; Comamonadaceae. The record is from RNAcentral.